This 448-nucleotide ribosomal RNA is filed under the name uncultured bacterium. Its description in RNAcentral is "bacterial SSU rRNA". It matches the Rfam family "Bacterial small subunit ribosomal RNA", at positions 331 to 793 of the family's 1533-position model. The record is from RNAcentral.
CCAGACUCCUACGGGAGGCAGCAGUGGGGAAUAUUGGGCAAUGGGGGAAACCCUGACCCAGCAACGCCGCGUGAAGGAAGAAGGCUUUCGGGUUGUAAACUUCUUUUACCAGGGACGAAGAAAGUGACGGUACCUGGAGAAAAAGCUCCGGCUAACUACGUGCCAGCAGCCGCGGUAAUACGUAGGGAGCGAGCGUUAUCCGGAUUUAUUGGGUGUAAAGGGUGCGUAGACGGGAAAAUAAGUUAGUUGUGAAAUCCCUCGGCUCAACUGAGGAACUGCAACUAAAACUAUUUUUCUUGAGUGCAGGAGAGGAAAGUGGAAUUCCUAGUGUAGCGGUGAAAUGCGUAGAUAUUAGGAGGAACACCAGUGGCGAAGGCGACUUUCUGGACUGUAACUGACGUUGAGGCACGAAAGUGUGGGGAGCAAACAGGAUUAGAUACCCCUGUAA